UUUUAAAUUUAUUUUUCCUGUUCUUCUUACAUGGAGAUUGUAUCUUUCUCAAAGUUUUUCCAUCUUUUUGAUGGCAUGCUAUUUGGUUAUCUAGGCCUUGGAAUUUUGUGCCAAAUGACUUUACAUUAGUCUAUAUAUCUCAUUUUCUUGUUGAUUUUGAGAAUUUAAUAACUCUCUAAUUCUUUGUCUUUAACAACCAAUUCUAUACAUAUCCCAACUUCCUAAAUUACGUCUGUGCUUACAGUUCAUUGAUUGCGAAUCAGCCAAUAGUGAUAGCUUUUUGGUGCUUCUAUCUCAGGUUUUCUUUUUUAUUUCUAACUUCUAGAUUUUGUGAUUCCAUUUAUAUAGAGCCAAUUCCAAUAAAAAGGUACAAGAUUAAGUGGAUUCAAACUUAAUAAUGAUGCAAAUUCUGAAAAUGUUUUUAUUGAAGUGUUGAAAAUAUACUGUAUACAUAACAAGAAUAAAAUGGUUAGCAUAUAAAACUAACACGUUGCUUUUCAUUGUACAGUGAUGGUUAAUAUCAUGGGUUGUACUGAUUAGAGACCACAAUAGCUUAAUUCAAUGGUGCAUCUUGAUCAAUAGAAGCCAUUUCCUUUCCUGAAAUAUAAUGCUUAAAAAAGCAGUUGAUUGUGCAAUGUUUUUUAAUCCUAGGUAAGUUGGGAUUUGAACAAAUUACCGUUUAGUUAGAAAAAAAGUGGGUAUAAUGAGGCCAUGAACUAUUGCCAUUGCCAAGGAAAAUAUAAAAUCUUCACUCCAAUUGAAGACCACAUAAUCAACUGAAACUUUUCCACUUAAAUUAAAAACAUAUAAAUACAUGCCAAACCUCAUCUUUGUGCUAUAUUUGAACUUUUUGUGUGUGUGUUGUGCGCGCCCGUUCUAUGACACCCAAAUACAUGGUGCACACUUCAUUAGUGAAUUCUGUGUUGGUCUUUGAGACUAUGUUACUCUUUAGUAAAUUUGUGUUGCUAACUUGCUCAUGAUUUUGAUGAUUAGCAACGUAUUCAAAAGAGAUAAGACCCCAUGUAUUUUUUAGUUGUAGCAUUGAUAUCAAAAUGUCAAUGGUUUGAGACAAAAUGUCAACAUCCCCAUGCAAUUUUUAGUUUCAGCAUUGACAAUUUCACAUGGUUCGUAAGGAGUUGUUCCUAAUAUUUGAGUAAACUCUUCUUAUUCGUUUCUUCUUCUUCUCUACAUUGAUAUCAAUGGUUUGUAGGGAAUUGUUCCAAAUGUUUGUGUAAACUCUUGUCAUUCGUUUCUUUUUCUUUAUUUAUUAUUUUUUUGGGUGCAAAAUGUUGCCAUUCACUUCAUAUUGCAUUCUUCAAACUAUUGAUGAGACUUUGAAAAUUUUGAAAUCUCCAAUUGGAUCGAGAAGAGCAGCAUACUAUUUCUAUUUCAAACUCAGAAUGGCUCGCAUGCUGAACUCUGACCAACAGGUAUUUUUGUUACAUUGAGUUCUAUUCAAUGUUUGAGAUUAGAUGCCAACAUAAAUUAUGUAGAACUUAUUUUAGUGGUUCUACGUGAUUCUACGAAAAAUCAAAGAUACUUGUAUGCAUUUGAAUUAUGAAAAUAUGCCUUACACUUUUUUUUUUAGGAGUCGAUCGUCUUGUGCCCUAUCUCAACUAAUGUACUGUGUUUUGUAUUCCAUCUUUGCCUGCUUAAACUUUUGAAACAUCUUUGAGUAUCAUGGUCAAAAUUCAUCAUAGGGAUCUAAUGAGAUUUGAUUCAAAUAUGUGAGAGAAGCCAUUUGCCAGGUGAUAAGCUCAUGGUAUAAGAAAUUUUUUUUAACUAAUUUUUCUAUCCCAAUAUUUGCUCUUCAUGGAUUGAGCCCAUAAUUUUAAAAUUUAUUUGGCAGAUUGAGUUGGUAAUCAAAUGAAUCUGUUGACUUGAUGUUCAGUCCACCACUCUCAACACCCUCAGUUGAAUGUGAAGUUGUUGCCCAUACAUUGACAUAUAAACUACAGACAAGUUUCCUAGCAAGGAAUUAGCUGAAAAUCAGUUUUCCCUGCUCUACUUUAUUUUCAUUUUGUGUUUUGAUCCUGUAAUUUUCUUUUUCUUCCUUUUUGUUGAUUUUGUUAAGGUUGGCAACAUGGAAUCCAAGAAGGGGGCAGCUGAUUGGGAUGAAAUUGGGACAAGUUUGAAGAUGAAGCUCCUCUUCAGUUGUUAGUAAAGCAUCUUCCACAAAAGAGGUUGUGCAUGUUUCAUCAACAAAUGCUGAUCAUAAUUCAGAAAUGCCACCAAGUGGAGGGGAAAGGAUUGCCGAUGAUGCUCAUAGCGAAGACAGCGUAGAACUUCAGUGCAGAUGGUUCACCGCAUGCUAGAGAGACCUAGAGGUACAGGUUUUAAUUUGCAUCUUUUUUGUAUUUUCCUUCUGCGUUGGAUUUGAAAUUUUUUAUUGGUGUCUGAACCUUUAAACCAUUGGACGGCAUCUAUCUACACCUAUUGUUUCAUUCGAAAAUCUGAAUUUCUGCAUGAUUUUAUUGGUGCUCUGAACACGGGGGGUGUUGAAUAUGUGUUCUCUGGGGACAGAAGUGUUGAUGAACGAAACUGGGGCGCAUUUGACGCUCAUUAUGAUACCGACUUAGGCUGGGACUUCAGUUUUGGUCCUACAAAGUCCAGUUUUGGUACUAAAACGUGGCACAUUAAACACUUAAGAGUUGCUGUUGAGUCCUUGUAGCUGCUAGGUGCUCUGUAUACUGUUAUGAGCAGCAGUAGUAGUUUGACAAGGUUUUGAUGUGUAAUAUUUGGAGACUUAGAAGCUGAGGACCUUGUGUUUGGAUAUUCUGAUGGACUUCAUUUUGAUGUGGAAAAAGGCAAGCACAUGUUUUCUAUGAAAUAUUCACUUUUCCUGAAUUGAUUAGGAAUACUCACUGGCAGUUUAUCAAUUAUGAAACAGUUGAACAGAGUGCCUAAAUGGUUGGGUUUCACAUAGAGUAGAUUAGCACAACCAACUUGGGUUUCACGAACUUUCAUUUAAGUUAAUUGAAAAAAAAUAAAAAUAAAUAAAUAAUCCAACUUAGUUGAAAACGGGCGUUCCAGAGGCAAAAAUGUAAAACAGCCACCGAACCACUCUAUGGAUGUCAGGGGUACUUUCCUCAUGACACAUAGAACCUGUGGGGACAGACGACAUGUAAUUAGCACACGUAGGUUGGGAGUUAGAGUAAAAAAUGCCUUAAACUUAGUUGAAAAAAGGCGUUCGGGAGGUGAAAAUGCAAAACAGCCCUUGAACCACUCUAUGGAUGUCACGGAUACCUUCCUCGUGACACAUAGGACCUGUGGGGACAGACGGGAUGUAAUUAGCACACAUAGGUUGGGAAUUGGAGUAAAAAAUGCCUUAAACUUAGUCGAAAAAAGCCGUUCGAGGGGCGAAAAUGCAAAACAGGCCCCAAAUCACUCUGUGGAUGUUACGGGAAGCUUCCUCGUGACACAUAGGUCCUGUGGGGACAAACGGCAUGUAAUUAGAACACAUAGGUUGGGAGUUGGAGUCAAAAAUGCCUUAAACUUAGUCGAAAAAACGCAUUCGGGGGGUGAAAAUGCAAAACAGCCCCCGAACCACUCUAUGGAUGUCACGGAUAGCUUCCUCAUGACACAUAGGACCUGUGGGGACAGACGGGAUGUAAUUAGCACACGUAGGUUGGGAGUUGGAGUCAAAAAUGCCUUAAAAUUAAUCGAAAAAAGGCGUUCGGGGGCAAAAAUGCAAAACAGUCCCUAAAUCACUCUGGAUGUUACGGGAAGCUUUCUCGUGACACAUAAGACCUGUGGGGACAAACAACAUGUAAUUAGCACACGUAGGUUGGGAGUUGGAGUAAAAAAUGCCUUAACUUAGUCGAGAAAAGGCGUUUGGGGGGUGAAAAUGCAAAACAGGCCCCGAACUACUCUAUGGCUGUCACGGGCAGCUUCCUCACGACAAAUAGGACAUGUGGCAGCUUCCUCAUGACUCUAUGGACAUGUGAAUAUAUUUUAGUCAUGAGUUGCAUGUAUUUUACCUUGAUGAAGAAGAACAAGCAGCAACAAAUUGGCUGGAAAAGAAGUAUAACCAUGGUUAAUGAGGUUUAUGUUCAAAAAAUGUUUGGUUCCUUUGCUUUUUUAGCCUGAAGACCUUUUCUUUAGAAACUCUAUUUUUGCUUUCAGUGUUGCUUUCUGCAAUGAAGAGAGUAUUGCAAAGGUAUUUUCGCUUCAAGGAAAUUUCUAUCUGUUUUAGGCUCCAUUUGUUUUGAUGUGAUAUAAUUUACACUAAAAAUAAUUUCAUGUAGAAUAAUUUACAUCUCUUAUUUUUCAAUGUUUGGCUUCAACUCUAAAUAGUUCAAGUCACAAAUCUCAAGGCAAGAUACCAGUUAGCUAUUGCUCUGCUAUUUAUACAUAAAAAUAAAUAUAUCACAGAUUGUUUGAGGAACCAAAAAUAGACAGUGAAUCAGAAUGGCAUGCUUCAUCACCAUGUAAACCAACCAAUUCGGGAGAAGAAGAAAUAGAAGCUGAAACUAUGGGAGACCAUUUGCUUUUUCAUUGUAAUUAAUAUUUUCCCCUUUCAUUAUGUUUAUUAUUUCUCAUUGUUCUUUUUGACGUGACACUAAAAACACAAAAGGAAAUUUUUGCCAUAACUUAUCCCUUCUAAGCACCAUCAUUUUAAACUCGAAGGGUACAACAACUUGAACAAUUAAAUGCAAACUUCAGCACAGGCCUUAUAUACUAAAUACACAUUUCUAUUGGCUUACUAUUACCCGACCGCAUACUCAAAGGCCAUGAAACAUGGAGGAAAGCUUUUUUUUUUUCACUACAAUAUAGUAACAGGUAUGUCCUUGGCCAGUGGUCAGCCACCAACCAUCUCAUUAUAUCUUGUAGACACAAAGCAUCAAACAUAUUCUCACAUUAAUCAUUCUUUUAAUAAUGAAUUAGAAAUGAUUGCCAAUCAAGUCCAUGAAACUCUGAAAUGUUUAUUUAUUCACCAUUCAUACUUCAAAUCUCCAUUUCAACAACAGUGGAGUUGAGGUGAUAGGUGAUUACAAGUCCAAAGGUAUUGCUUAUAUACCCUUUCCUCGGGUUUAGGCAAGAGAGAGGGAAGUGAAUCUAGAGAGG
Molecule: non-coding RNA, 5067 nt
Organism: Camellia sinensis
Lineage: Eukaryota; Viridiplantae; Streptophyta; Magnoliopsida; Ericales; Theaceae
Source: RefSeq, a predicted model, not a curated record